This 472-nucleotide ribosomal RNA is filed under the name uncultured bacterium. Its description in RNAcentral is "SSU rRNA". It matches the Rfam family "Bacterial small subunit ribosomal RNA", at positions 26 to 518 of the family's 1533-position model. The record is from RNAcentral.
AGAAUGAACGUUGGCGGCGUGGAUUAGGCAUGCAAGUCGAGCGAGAACCCCGCAAGGGGGGACAGCGGCGAAAGGGACAGUAAUGUGUAGGUACCUACCCUCGGGUCCGGGAUAGCUGCGGGAAACUGCAGGUAAUACCGGAUAACAUCUCCGGAUCAAAGGUGUGAUUCCGCCCGGGGAGGGGCCUGCAUCCUAUUAGCUAGUUGGUAAGGUAACGGCUUACCAAGGCCAUGAUGGGUAGCGGGUGUGAGAGCACGACCCGCGUCACUGGGACUGAGACACUGCCCAGACACCUACGGGUGGCUGCAGUCGAGGAUCUUCGGCAAUGGGCGAAAGCCUGACCGAGCGACGCCGCGUGCGGGAUGAAGGCCUUCGGGUUGUAAACCGCUGUCAGUGGGGAGGAAGGCUCCGUGAAGAACGGGUUUGACCUAUCCGCAGAGGAAGCAAGGGCUAAGUUCGUGCCAGCAGCCGC